RNAcentral lists this ribosomal RNA (230 nucleotides) under uncultured bacterium. Its description in RNAcentral is "partial 16S ribosomal RNA". It matches the Rfam family "Bacterial small subunit ribosomal RNA", at positions 28 to 260 of the family's 1533-position model. The record is from RNAcentral.
GACGAACGCUGGCGGCGUGCUUAACACAUGCAAGUCGAGCGGUAAGGCCCUUUCGGGGGUACACGAGCGGCGAACGGGUGAGUAACACGUGGGUGACCUGCCCUCAGCUCUGGGAUAAGCCUGGGAAACUGGGUCUAAUACUGGAUAUGACUCCACGGUGCAUGUCGUGGGGUGAAAGCCUUGUGCGGCUGAGGAUGGGCCCGCGGCCUAUCAGCUUGUUGGGGGGUGAU